GACACAUGUUUCUUCUGUCAUGUUAUAGAACACAUGUCUCAAUCCCAACAAGUAAUUGGAAUUGGACUUUAGCAAAAUCCUUGUUAGUAUAUGACAAAUUUAUGUAGAGAUCUCCAAUUGCUCGAACAAGUCUUGAGCAGCCUGUUCAACUAUUCGGGAAUAAGAUUCAGUUGCAUUUGCAACCACAGGGCUAUACAACAAAAUAGAAUGGGUGUUUAUGCCCCACCAUGGCAUUGGCAUACAGUAUUUUGUGGUGAAUGGUGAUGGCACUCUUUCUGGAUACCAAUAUCUAGUCAAGUGACACGACCAGCACAAAGGGACUAAACAAUCAGCUGAAAUGUUAUGAGCCAAGAUUUUCUUUUUUCUCGAUCCCAAGUACACGCAACAGUGAAAAUUACUAUUAAAUUUUGAAUUCAAUGAUAAUUUUUACUGUCAGAUCAAAGAAUAUAGACUUAUGAAUGUACGUAGCAUUUUUCUUUUUCUUUCUCUGAAUUCCGUUCUUUAUUUGGAAGAGUCCUGUGUAGGUUAUCUUCUGUGGGGGUGUGAAUUUUCUGUGGAGGUGGGAACAUGGCGGAGAGGGGUUGUCCUAUCCAUUAUUCGUGUUUUCUGGGGACCAUUUCAUAGAUUGCCAUCGGAGGAUUUAAUUUCCACUUGAAACAUUAUUUGAUUCGUUUACUGUUGUCAUUUGUCUGGAAAUGAAUAUGAAUCUCUGGAGUUUGGAAA
Long non-coding RNA from Alnus glutinosa, 723 nucleotides. RefSeq lists it as uncharacterized. Lineage: Eukaryota; Viridiplantae; Streptophyta; Magnoliopsida; Fagales; Betulaceae. The transcript has 2 exons. The record is from RefSeq and is a predicted model, not a curated record.